RNAcentral lists this ribosomal RNA (254 nucleotides) under uncultured bacterium. RNAcentral's name for it is "partial 16S ribosomal RNA". It matches the Rfam family "Bacterial small subunit ribosomal RNA", at positions 524 to 776 of the family's 1533-position model. The record is from RNAcentral.
UACGGGGGGAGCAAGCGUUGUUCGGAUUUACUGGGCGUAAAGGGCGCGUAGGCGGCCAGCGCAAGUCAGUUGUGAAAUCUCCGGGCUUAACUCGGAAAGGUCAACUGAUACUGCGCGGCUAGAGUGCGGAAGGGGCAACUGGAAUUCUCGGUGUAGCGGUGAAAUGCGUAGAUAUCGAGAGGAACACCUGCGGCGAAGGCGGGUUGCUGGGCCGACACUGACGCUGAGGCGCGAAAGCUAGGGGAGCGAACGGG